This 497-nucleotide ribosomal RNA is filed under the name uncultured bacterium. Its description in RNAcentral is "partial 16S ribosomal RNA". It matches the Rfam family "Bacterial small subunit ribosomal RNA", at positions 28 to 507 of the family's 1533-position model. The record is from RNAcentral.
GAUGAACGCUGGCGGCGUGCCUAACACAUGCAAGUCGAGCGGACGGACGCGACGCUUGCUGCUCUGAUGUUAGCGGAAGACGGGAGAGUAACACGUGUAACCUCUACCUAUAAGUCGGGGAUCACCUGGGGACACCGGCGCUUAUCCCGUAGAAGAUCUUGCACCGCAUGGGUCGAUAGUGAGAGUCGGUCUUGCGGUAUCUAAUAGAUGGAUCCGCGCUGCAUGAGCUAGUAGUGAAGGUCACGGCUUAUGACGGCUACGAUGCAUAGCCGACGUGCGAGAGUGAUCGGCCACCUGAGAACUGGGACACGGUCAAGACUCCUACGGGAGGCAGCAGUAGGGAAUCUGCCGCAGUGGGCGAGAGCCUGGCGGAGCAACGCCGCGUGAGUGAUGGAGGUCUUCGGAUCGUAAUACUGUGUUAUGAGGGGAGAACAUAUGUGUAAGUUACUGUGGACAGCGUGACGGUACCUGGUAAAGAAGCCACGGCUAACUACGUG